UACGAAGGGGGCUAGCGUUGCUCGGAAUUACUGGGCGUAAAGCGCACGUAGGCGGAUCAUUAAGUCGGGGGUGAAAUCCUGGAGCUCAACUCCAGAACUGCCUUCGAUACUGGCGAUCUUGAGUCCGGGAGAGGUGAGUGGAACUCCGAGUGUAGAGGUGAAAUUCGUAGAUAUUCGGAAGAACACCAGUGGCGAAGGCGGCUCACUGGCCCGGUACUGACGCUGAGGUGCGAAAGCGUGGGGAGCGAACAGG
RNAcentral lists this ribosomal RNA (253 nucleotides) under uncultured bacterium. Its description in RNAcentral is "partial 16S ribosomal RNA". It matches the Rfam family "Bacterial small subunit ribosomal RNA", at positions 524 to 776 of the family's 1533-position model. The record is from RNAcentral.